GGAGGUAAGGGUGAUCUGGCUGCAACAUCUGUCACCUCAUUGAUCGCCAGGGUUGAUUUAGCUGAUCUGAUUGGCUAGGCGGGUGUCCCCUUCCUCCCUCACAGCUCCAUGCGCAUUUCUCCCAAAGCUGCGUGCUCAGUUGAAGAGAAUGGCCUUCUCCAAAUAGACAGAGGAAUGAA
This 179-nucleotide small nuclear RNA is filed under the name Erinaceus europaeus (western European hedgehog). RNAcentral describes it as "7SK RNA". It matches the Rfam family "7SK RNA", at positions 1 to 178 of the family's 331-position model. From Rfam's summary of the family: 7SK was discovered as an abundant small nuclear RNA in the mid-70s but a possible function has only recently been suggested. Lineage: Eukaryota; Metazoa; Chordata; Mammalia; Eulipotyphla; Erinaceidae. The record is from Rfam by way of RNAcentral.